Molecule: ribosomal RNA, 228 nt
Filed under: Triticum aestivum (bread wheat)
Lineage: Eukaryota; Viridiplantae; Streptophyta; Magnoliopsida; Poales; Poaceae
Description: partial small subunit ribosomal RNA
Source: RNAcentral
AUGCCCAUUGGUGUUCCAAAAGUACCUUACCGGAUUCCUGGCAAUGAAGAAGCGAGUUGGGUUGACUUAUACAAUGUUAUGUAUCGAGAAAUGACAUUUUUAGGUCAAGAGAUUCAUUGCGAGAUCACGAAUCAUAUUACAGGUCUCAUGGUAUAUCUGUGUAUAGAAGAUGGAAUUAGUGAUAUUUUUUUGUUUAUAAACUCCCCAGGCGGGUGGCUAAUAUCAUAA